Molecule: ribosomal RNA, 459 nt
Filed under: uncultured bacterium
Lineage: Bacteria
Description: partial 16S ribosomal RNA
Rfam family: Bacterial small subunit ribosomal RNA
Source: RNAcentral
CCUACGUGUGGCAGCAGUGAGGAAUAUUGGUCAAUGGGCGGAAGCCUGAACCAGCCAAGUAGCGUGCAGGAUGACGGCCCUACGGGUUGUAAACUGCUUUUAUACGGGAAUAACGCGCCUUACGUGUAGGCCUUUCAUGUUCCCGAUUAAUUAGGACCCGCCCAUUCCGUGCCAGGAGCCGGGGUUAUACCGGAGGUCCGGGCGUUAUCCGGAUUUUUUGGGUUUUAAGGGAGCGUAGGCCGCAUGUCAAGCGUGCUGUGAAAUGUCCGGGCUCAACCCGGGCCUUGCAGCGCGAACUGGCGUGCUUGAGUCCGCGGAAAGCAGGCGGAAUUCGUCGUGUAGCGGUGAAAUGCUUAGAUAUGACGAAGAACCCCGAUUGCGAAGGCAGCUUGCUGCAGCGGAACUGACGCUGAUGCUCGAAAGCGCGGGUAUCGAACAGGAUUAGAUACCCUAGUAGUC